Molecule: ribosomal RNA, 253 nt
Filed under: uncultured bacterium
Lineage: Bacteria
Description: partial 16S ribosomal RNA
Rfam family: Bacterial small subunit ribosomal RNA
Source: RNAcentral
UACGGGGGGGGCAAGCGUGGUUCGGAAUUACGGGGCGUAAAGGGCUCGUAGGUGGCCAAUUAAGUCAGACGUGAAAUCCCUCGGCUUAACCGGGGAACUGCGUCUGAUACUGGAUGGCUUGAGUUCGGGAGAGGGAUGCGGAAUUCCAGGUGUAGCGGUGAAAUGCGUAGAUAUCUGGAGGAACACCGGUGGCGAAGGCGGCAUCCUGGACCGACACUGACACUGAGGAGCGAGAGCCAGGGGAGCAAACGGG